Molecule: ribosomal RNA, 1167 nt
Filed under: uncultured bacterium
Lineage: Bacteria
Description: bacterial SSU rRNA
Rfam family: Bacterial small subunit ribosomal RNA
Source: RNAcentral
GCGAGCAUCCCAAAGCUGGUCAAAGAAGUAUUAUCACCCCACGCGUGGGAUUGAGACAGCGCCCAAGUUUCUACAGAGAGCACCAGUGGAUAUAUUGGACAAUGGACGAACGCUGAUCCAGCAAUGCCGCGUGAGUGAUGAGGCUUAGGAUGUAAAGCUCUUUACCCGGAGAUAAUGACUGUACUGGGAGAUAAGCCCGGCUACUCGUGCAGCAGCGCGUAUACGAGGGGCUAGCGUGUCGAUUACUGGCGUAAGCGUACGUAGGCGGCUUGUAAGUAGAGUGAAAGCCCGGGGCUCAACCCCGGGAAUUGCCUUUAAGACUGCAUCGCUGAAUCGCGGAGAGGUGAGUGGAAUUCCGAGUGUAGAGGUGAAAUUCGUAGAUAUUCGGAAGAACACCAGUGGCGAAGGCGGCUCACUGGACGCGUAUUGACGCUGAGGUACGAAAGCGUGGGGAGCAAACAGGAUUAGAUACCUGGUAGUCACGCCGUAAACGAUGAUAACUAGCUGUCCGGGCACUUGGUGCUUGGGUGGCGCAGCUAACGCAUUAAGUUAUCCGCCUGGGGAGUACGGCCGCAAGGUUAAAACUCAAAGAAAUUGACGGGGGCCUGCACAAGCGGUGGAGCAUGUGGUUUAAUUCGAAGCAACGCGCAGAACCUUACCAACGUUUGACAUCCCUAGUAUGGAUCGUGGAGACACUUUCCUUCAGUUCGGCUGGCUAGGUGACAGGUGCUGCAUGGCUGUCGUCAGCUCGUGUCGUGAGAUGUUGGGUUAAGUCCCGCAACGAGCGCAACCCUCGCCUUUAGUUGCCAUCAUUAAGUUGGGCACUCUAAAGGAACCGCCGGUGAUAAGCCGGAGGAAGGUGGGGAUGACGUCAAAUCAUCAUGCCCCUUAUGUCUUGGGCUUCACGCAUGCUACAAUGGCCGGUACAAAGGGCUGCAAUACCGUAAGGUGGAGCGAAUCCCAAAAAGCCGGUCUCAGUUCGGAUUGAGGUCUGCAACUCGACCUCAUGAAGUCGGAGUCGCUAGUAAUCGCAGAUCAGCAACGCUGCGGUGAAUACGUUCCCGGGCCUUGUACACACCGCCCGUCAAGUCAUGAAAGUCGGUAACACCCGAAGCCGGUGGCCCAACCUUUUGGAGGGAGCCGUCGAAGGUGGAUCGGAAAUGGUCC